UGGAUUAAUGUUUGUAGUUUUUCGAGUUUUCUCCUGAAUUCAGAGAUGGGCGGUAAAUUGUUGAGUGCUGCUAUUGAGUGUAUAGUGCACGAUACACUUGAUACAGUAUCUUGAUGAUUGAAGCAAAUGUCUGAUCAAAGGAACAUUUAUAGCACCAGAUCACGAAAUAUGGAAAUUUGUUACAGACGGUCAUCCUGUAAUGUUCAACAAGUAGUACACCCUUACAUUUGGAUACGCUAACCAUGAGAGGUUAGUGAUCUAUCAGUAAUGAAUGAAUGGAUUGGAUCAAACUAAGCAUGAGCUGAGUUUGUGUUUGCAGGUAACAGACACGUCUCCCACCCUCUGCUUUUCUUUUGGGCUGAAGAGCAAUAAAAGUGGAGAUUAACACUGGGGGGGGUCUGGAACAGAUGGGUCUGAUGCUAAGUUGAUUUAUUAUCUCCUGGUACUUUUUGGGAUCAAGGGACUCACAAUCUUCAUUGUUGUUUUAUGACCCUGAAGGGUUUGGAGAACCUUUUGUUGAUAUCACCGGGGUUUGAGGUUCACAUUCUGAUACAUUGAUUGAAGUUUUAGUGACUGAUACUGCAAAUGCUCGACCACUUGUGAAAGUGGUAGCAAAGGUCAGCAAAUUGACUGUAAUGAUGGAGGCCUUCAGUGAGGCCAUCAAAUGGUUUAUUUUAAUGGGGAAGUAAGCAAAAAUGGGAAAACAGGUUGAGGAGUUAUGCAGUAAUGCAUAGGUUUUCAAAGGUCAUCAUGACCGAGCAAACAGGCUGAAGGUAAAAGGAGAAGAAAUUGACUGUGAGGGUGAGAAUGUGGGGUAACAUUUUUGUGUAUACUUGGAAUGAGCAGAUUGCUUUGAGGUUAGAAUGAACAAAGAGAACUGGGUUGGUCAAUUAGUUGAUGAAGACAUGGAACAGUCAUACACUGUGGGGGUGAGACCUACAAGCAAAACUCAAAGGGAUCAUUGAACGGGGACACGAAGGCAAUGUUGGUGUUAAUUUUUCAUGAGUUGACUAUGGGGGUCAAUAAUCAGUUAUGUCGAAGAUUCCAAAUUUCUAUAUAUGAAUGGCUCCUCGAAUCGAUUGGAAACAAGGCCGUUUGAGAAAGGCAAUUUUUCAAAACAGUGUGUAAAUACUCUAGGAGCAGAUAAAGAUAUGCAGAGGCAUUCUUUACGUCAACGCAUCACAUUCUUCAUUCAGCUGAGGCUCUAAUCCAAAGCGACUUGCAGGAAGUGAAUUUGAACAAGAGGGAACAGAACCAGAACAGCAAGAACAAAGAAGGGAUUUCUCCUUCUAAGAAAGCAACAUUUGGAACUCCUUCCACCAUCAGGUGAACAUCAGGAGUCAGGACAAAUGAUGACUUUGUUGGGAGUUUAGCUCCCAGUAAAAGAAACAAUAGGCAGAUGCUGAGAUGGGAGUGAAUUAGGGACGAGGAUAGAUUUCAAAGGGGAUGGCGACUCAUGGUCGAGGAGGGAGUGAGCAGACCUCCCUAAAACAACAACUGAUAAGAGGAGGAAUCCUGGGGAAGUGUCGGAGCCAUAAAAUUCAUCCACAGGUUGUAUGUCAUCUAAGAGUCAUUUACGAAUCACACACGGUUGGUAUGGGGGGAAUUAUUUCACUAUGAUAAAUUUACUGACACAUUUUUCCUCGAAUACAUGUGCAUGGCAAUUGUUAACUAUGUUUUGCUUUUCAGUAGGAACAGGCGACUCCAAUGCGAGACGGUCCAGAUCGGCAACGACACCCAGUAGAAACGGCGUUGUGGGGGUUUUACGACAUUGUUAGAUAAGCCAGGAGGUGGCCUGGGGUUGAUUAGCAUCACCAAAGGCUAUGUGAAGGGAUGCUUUUACACCUACCUCAACAUGAGGGACUGGGGGAGAACAGAAUACAACUAGAGUAUCUGCCGAUUUGGGAACAUUAUUGCAUGCAGUGUAAAACACAAUCAUAAGAUUCUAAACAACAGAUAUGUGUAGAUGACAUUGAUUUAAGGUGUUAAGAAGAACAAUCAGUCUUUCUAUCAAUGAAACAACUCACAAAUUGAUUAGAAUAUUUUUAGGAAAACACUAGAUGUUAGAGUUUAGCUACUCAAGUGGCAUUUUAGGGAUAACAGCAGACGAUGGCCAACGCAGGAAGAUUCAACAUGACUUUUCUUCCUGGAACGAAUGUGCAAUGACAUUGCUCUUCUCAUACACUGACACAAGGACUGAUGAGACACACAGAUGAUACAAUUACUCCACAUUAAAAGAAAUAGCUAAAACUGGGAAAUAAGUGGGUGAAAUGUUGAGUUCCAGUUAUGUUUAAAUAUGCACACACUAGAUGGUAGAACUUGUUGGCUUGAAGAGUUUGGUAAACCAGAAGAAAGAGCAACAGGAAUUGGGAGAGCACACACACACACACACUCACACGCACAUCUAGACACACCUACACACACCCACACACAUAGCUGCACCACUUGUGCUUCUCUAUUCAACAGCCGAUUGGGGAAUCUUGUCCUAAUGGGACCUCCGGUUAGCAGAGCAGUCUGCUCACAGGAACUGAGGUGAUCCGAGGUCCAAGGAGGGAGCGUGAAGCUUAAUCACACGUCUAGGAUGACAGCUACGUGUCAUCUGACCAAACCGCUGACAACAACAGAUGUUCCAACAGAGGAACAUCAAGGAGGAGAAGUAUAGGCACACACAUACAACGAAGAAAUCCACAAACACUGAGCUAAUGUGACACACAAUUUCCAGAUUAGAGAAGGAACGGGAACUGCUGGGACACUUGAUAAACACAUAUGAUAAGA
Long non-coding RNA from Gasterosteus aculeatus aculeatus (three-spined stickleback), 2775 nucleotides. Lineage: Eukaryota; Metazoa; Chordata; Actinopteri; Perciformes; Gasterosteidae. The record is from Ensembl.